Molecule: long non-coding RNA, 2192 nt
Filed under: Takifugu rubripes (torafugu)
Lineage: Eukaryota; Metazoa; Chordata; Actinopteri; Tetraodontiformes; Tetraodontidae
Description: lncRNA (ENSTRUG00000028521.1)
Source: RNAcentral
ACAGGAUUUGGAGAAAAAAAAAAAAUGUUUGCAUUUUGCAGGUGCAAGUAUCUCUACACUACGAGAUAAAACCAGCAUUGGAUUGCAUGCUGUCAGGCAUCAGAAGCCAUAAAAACAACUAAUCUCAGUGAUGAUGAUUUUCUCUUUCGCUAUGCUCCUUUUAGCAAUAACACAAGGUUCUACACACAGAGAACAGCGGAACAUUCAGGUUGAUGUGUUGACUGUAGCAUUGGGGGACUCUCUAAUAUUAAACUGUACCUACGACUGCUCUGUUGGAUUCGUGCGAGGCUGCUGGAGUAAGGCAUCAGACAGGUCAGGCUGUUACGGGAAAGUCACUCAAAUGGACUUUUGCACAAUUUCCCUUCAUCUGCCGAAUGUCACCGCGGAAGAUCUGGAGAACUACACUUGUUACACGCAGAACACAGAUCAUGUUGAACUUGCACAAAACAUUCAGCAGACUGUUUUACUGCAGCUGCGAGCUCCAACAACAACCCAUUACCCAUCUACAGUUACACAUGAAACUAAAACGAACACUGCAUCUGUUUCCAGAAAACCAAAGGAUAUCAGCAAAGGAGAAAUUAUUGGAAUUAAGGCUCUAGCAUCAGUUACUGUUGCUGUGGCCACGGCACUGGCAGUAUUAGCAGCCUAUCUCUGCCUGAGUCGCAAUAAACAACGCUGCAGUUGUAAAGGGGAGCCUCUUGUGUCCUCCACAAAUGCAUCACUGAGUUUAGACGCUGCCAGUUCACCGGUGAAGGGUGAAAGAGUGACUUUGAGGAUUCCUACCCCAGACAAUGACAGUGACACUGAGGUUCCAUAUGCGGACAUCAUGAUCACUGUUCGAGGCGUCAGUACACCAGAGCUUACCCAGGUUGGGUACCUGUCUACCGGAGAUGGAAAAGAGUGGUGGAGGGAUGAAUCCCAGGGUCACCUGCAGGCUUCCCGCUCAGCUGACAGACUCCAUCUCCCGCAGCCCAGAGAGAUCAGCCGCAAAAUGAGCACCAACUCCGAGUACGCGGUCAUCACGUACGCCUGACUGGGAAAGGAAAUUCCUUCUCCGAAUACGCUCGUUGUGUUUAUAAUGUGUGAUUAUAGUGAGUUUGUGUCAACCAAUAAAGCUGUUAUGUUUAGCCAGUGUCACAUUUGAGUCUGCGGUGCCGGUAAGGGGACCUGUUGCCUAGCAACGACUGUCAAACACGACAGCUAGCUUAAACGCUGACCAACAAGGUGCAUACGUACUGGGGGCGAGUAAAGGUAACAAACGCAUGUAUAAUUCCACUCAUAACCCUUUUUAAGGUAACUUUAAGUUUAUAAUUCACGAUCCACUUCAGGUGAUGUGUGCAGUGUUGCAAAAUGGCGACUUUCUCGCUAAAUCUAGCGACUUUUCAAAUCAUCUUGGUGACUUUUUUCUUGUCAAAAGCGAAUAGCGACAAAUCCGGGGAAUUUUGAGAGUUGUUGGAUAUUUUUCUUCUUUUGGGAAGACUGACGUAUUGUUCUAGUGUAGUCUAGCAUCGGGUGCUGCCGUCAGUUCCUCCCCCGUUUUAAAGCACCCACGGGCGGCCACUCUCCCAGCAGCCGCCCGCAGCCGUACCAGACGUGUCGGAGCACCGCGCAUGGGCAAACCCUGUCUUCCAAAGAGCGUUGUAAAUGUAAACGUUUCUUCACUGUCACAAUGAAAUAAGUUAUUACAUUUGACUCAAAAACCACUUCCUUUGAAAACAACAACUGUGUGUGGAGAGGAUAAGAAAAUAAGCAUUGAACCCGAAUUUGGGUCAGACUAGUUCUGUGCAUCUGCAUGAAAUGGAAAGAAGCGUUCCUUUACAAUCUUUAUUACAGUCAGCAACCCGUUGUCCUGUUCUGUACCCCCCACCCAUCCACCAACACCAACACCACCAUGCCAUACCCUGAUGCAGAAAAAUAAGAUCAAAACAAAAGUCUCAAUAUUUCACAUUUGAUCUUUCAAAGAUCAAAGGAGUCUUGAUUCAGAGCAACAUGCUAAAUUACAGCUAUUUUCCAUUGUAUUACAACUGCACUCCACUAAUGCUAUAAAAUAAAGAACUACUUUCUGUGUAGAUAUAAAGAAAUACAAAAUACAAGGUAAGAAUAUUACAACCAAAAGACAGUUGAUUCUUUGUACCUUUGCACAAAUGCAAGGAGCACAAUCCUGCUUUAAGUUUUCCAGUUUGUGUUCUUAU